This 241-nucleotide non-coding RNA is filed under the name Chloroflexota bacterium. Its description in RNAcentral is "Chloroflexi bacterium T-box sequence". It matches the Rfam family "T-box leader". From Rfam's summary of the family: Uncharged tRNA acts as the effector for transcription antitermination of genes in the T-box leader family. The record is from RNAcentral. Lineage: Bacteria; Bacillati; Chloroflexota.
GCACAGGCGACGACGGGAACGAGUAGCCCUCGUGCUCAGACAGCAGAGAGCCGCGCCGGUGCAAGGCGGCGUCGAGCAGAUGGCGAAGAUCCUCCCCGAGCCUCCGCCCGAACCGGAUGAAGUAGGAGCGGACGGUCUCGCCGACCGUUAGCGACGGCGCAUCGGUGAUAGCCGAUAAAACGAGUGCGUCACGCGAGUGACGAACUCAGGUGGUACCGCGGGUCUCGAGCCCGUCCUGAGA